Molecule: ribosomal RNA, 253 nt
Filed under: uncultured bacterium
Lineage: Bacteria
Description: partial 16S ribosomal RNA
Rfam family: Bacterial small subunit ribosomal RNA
Source: RNAcentral
UACAGAGGUCUCAAGCGUUGUUCGGAUUCAUUGGGCGUAAAGGGUGCGUAGGCGGCGCGGUAAGUCGGGUGUGAAAUCUCGGGGCUUAACUCCGAAACUGCAUUCGAUACUGCCGUGCUUGAGGACUGGAGAGGAGACUGGAAUUUACGGUGUAGCGGUGAAAUGCGUAGAUAUCGUAAGGAAGACCAGUGGCGAAGGCGGGUCUCUGGACAGCAACUGACGCUGAGGCACGAAGGCCAGGGGAGCAAACGGG